AACAUUGCUCUCCAGAGAAAGGGGGCAGCAGGGGUGGUAGACAGUGUACAAGUGAGUUCAUAACUGCCUGUCAGGGACCCUGCUCUGCACUUAGGAGAUGUUUUCUUGUGCCAGCUAUAGCUCAGCACCUACGGGAUCACCAGCAUGACAGCAGGAGCAGUCAGCUGCCACUUUCUCCUGGUGACCCAGGGUGUUCACCCAUCAGUACACUUGCACUCACACACAUGUAAAAGCCCCAGGCCAUCUGCUCUUCUUCAGACUGCAAAAUUAUGUAGUUUGAAAAGUCCUAAAAUGCUGAUUCCUCCCUCAGCAGGGACACAGUUCUCCAGAAAUACAAAAGCAUGAGUCCACAGGGGAAAAAGGAUAUACUGGAGAGUAAAACACUGUAACCGUCUAUCAAUGCCAUGUGGGAUGCUGCUGAAAGAAUUUUGGAACAACUGUGAGACUUUUUGGAUGCUCAAACACUGAAUGAGUCAAAAAAUCAUCUGUGUCCUACAGAGAAACAUUUUAGAAAACAAAGCAAUUGGCUUCUAGCAACAUGAUGUAACCUUGGUUUUUCCUCCCCUUAUUGUAAGUGCAUCUCUGGGUGUUUGCUUUUAAAGCUGUAUCCAUUAAUAAUGUGCCUCUAUAUUUAUUUAGAGAUAUCUCAAACAAGGAGCGCUUAUCCGUAGCUCCAGGCAACCCAACAAUUUUAAUACAUAAACAGCUAUAUAAAUGAGUCUCAUAAUUGUCCAACAAAAGCUUCAGCAACAAAGAACCCCAUAAGCACACCAUCUCUGCUCAGGAUGCGCAAAAUUCGGCAUCCACUUCAGCAGCCAAGGAGAAUAAAUAAGCUUUCCAAGGGAACCAGCUCGGGUUAUUACAGAUCAAAUGGAGGAACAAGUUGUUUGCCUUUCCUUACCUUUAAAAAAAAAAAACCAAAAAAAACCAAACCCACAAAUGGAAAAACAUGGGCCAGUUUUUCAAGCAAGCUCGGCACGUUGCCUGCCUAAAUUACACUUACAUGCAAGUGCAUGCAAAUGCGUUGUUUCCCUGGUCAUAUGCCUGAACUGCAUCCACAUUUUCCUCAAAUGCCUUCUGGAACGUGACAGGACACGCACGAGCAACCUCUCCAAUCCUUCAGAAACCUGAGCAUGGGCAUGCUGGUGGGAACAGAGGAAACACCUGCAUUCCUCACAGCACAAAUGCAGCCAAAAUAAUGAUGAGUCUGAAAAAAGCCCGAGAGAAGGAAAAGCAGAAGAGCAUCCCUUUGGGAAUAGACUCAGCCAGGUCCCUAUCUGACCCUGAAGGCUCGAAGAAUGGAUGUACCCAAAUCCAACAGAAUGGAGCAUGACCUCCACUGGAAACUACACAUGCUGGAAAAGAAAAAGCCUGUGUUCCAACUUUGUGCUUCGAGUCCUGUUUAAUAAAUAAUAACAGAGUAUGCUGGAACUGUGUCAGCCAUGUCAUUUCAGGUGAGGAAGGCUUGUGUUUUCUAGGUACGAGCUCUGUAAACCCCAGAGGAGCAGGGUGCCAGGGCAAGCAAGGGUCACACGGUGCUCAGCGAGGCACGUGCUCACCCACAGCCACGUGUGCCCGGACAAAUGUAUUUCUCUCUCCUGCAGAAACUACACUUGAGAUCUUGUGGGCUGAUUUUCUUAAUCCAAAAGCAAAGGUCAAACAGAAAGUACGUGGUUUAUUUAUGGAGAACCUUAGCCAUCAGACUUUCCAAAAGCAUCAGCAAAUUCUGCACAUCCACGUUUAAACCCCUCAGAAAGGUGUUGUGCCCUGUGCUUCCAAAGGCCCCCCCCUGUUCAGAUGCUGUGCUGGCAGUGUCAGGAGCCAGGAGUCUGGCCCAGCACCAGCCAGCCUGGCACAUCCCACAGCAGGGCCAUGUCCACCAGGAGAGGGGACACGGUAAACUUAGACACAGUGCAUCCUCUGAGGAUGUCAGCUCUUUUGAAUUAUUUACUUAUUUCUUAUUACAUUACUGAAAAGGAGAGUGAGAAAAAAACCCCUCCCAACUCGCCUGAAGAGGAAACGAAUAGGGAAACUUUGAGAUUUCUCAUUCCUCCAAAAAGCCCCUCAGUGAGCAUGGCCACCGCAGCUGCCCCCGAGAGGCCUUGCACCACCUCAAUCCCGAUACCAACAAGGAAGUACCAACAAGGCACUUAACCACACAGCCAGUUUCUUCUCUAAGCCUUCGGGUUGCCUCAGAAGUUUUUUAAACAAGACGCUUUCCUGUUUUUGAAACCUGUGCAUCCGUAUGGUUUGCAGGUUACUCAAAUAACCUUAUCACUUGGAGCAACGCUGGCAUGAAUUUCAAAACUGCUUACUGCGGUGCUCCCCUCCCCUCUCCGCACAUAUCUAUUUACUCAUAGGGAGCCUUAUUUACAGUAUCUUCCUGCCAACUGCUGACACAGAAGAAAAAAAAGCCCUGGGUUACACAUUAAGCUUUAUCGUUGAAGUAUUCAUGCCAGACGGUGUCCAAACAGAGUUAACUGACUGACCUUAGCUCAGGGUAAGCCACACAAGGGGGAAAUUUCUAUCACAAUCUGCUUGCACGGGCAGAGCUCGUUUCGCACCACCAGCUUUUUCAUCUCCUCCCCCCCUUCAUCUGGGCUGAAAAGGCUUUUCAAAGAAAACAUGGUUUUGUUUUCAGAAAGCCAAGUAGAGCUGGUUCCUUGUAAGUUCAUUAAAGGAGGAAUUACCAGAAGGAGAUGUUUGCAGGUAAAUUUUAAGGCAUGGAGAGGGCAUCCUGUACAACAAAUCCUGAUCUAAAAUCCACACAGCCCGCGAGUCAAAUUCAAUUCUUCUGUCAAAACUGGGAAAACGAAGAGGACUGCCGUGCAAGAAUAUGCCAUCCAGAGGGUCUGGAAAAUCCAGAAAUCAGCUUCACUAUGCCUGUUUUGCACAGCAGCUUUGGAAAGAUCUGCCAAACGUAACAGUUUCAUUUGACAGUCAUCUUUUGGCUUAACUUCUGAGCUGGCUGGUGGCCAUCUCCCAUUGCACAAUGAAUGCCUGCAAAAUUAAUCAUAAACUCCCUGCCUGGAACUCCCAGUGCUGCUCUCCUGAAGGGUACCUGCAGUCUGCUCCAAAACCAUGACAGUACCUCAAACCCUGUGUUCAUUAAUGGCCCAGCCAGCGAGGGAGGACAAACCAUCACAAAAACAAUCCAUGAACUUUAUUCUUCCACUCCCACUUCUGCAAUCUGCUGGCCGAGCCAUUUACCUCUGUGUACACUUCAUGACAGCCACACCACAGCCAGGCACAAAGGCGCUUAUCUCGACCUCACACUUCACAUCCUUUCUUCUCACAGCUAACACUUGGCUGGUGAAGAAAGCUGUACAACCUGUCUUGGGAGAAGGAAGAACCAAGAGCUGCUCUCAGAUUAACCGGUCCCGAUCCUCUCUCCAGUAAAUUCUCUACCACCAAUUCGGCAGGGGUGCGACGUUGCAACAUGUGCUGGCGAAUUUGCCUCACACUGCAAGUCAGCGCAGACAAGAAGGCAGAGCCUCCCUGCUCAUGGUGGAAGUCAAGCCCGAGCAUGCCCAGCAGCUGGGGAGACCCAUGUGAUGACAACAGCAUCCAGCUCCAUCUGGUGAUGUGCUCCCAGCCCCCCCAGGCACUUUUCCAUCUAGUCUUGCAAGCAGCUGGAUCAAUUUACUCUAGCCUACGGUGCACUGCACAGGCACAGACUGAAGUUAUUACUCAUGGAAAUCCCCUCUGUCUCAGUGCUUUGAACAAGGAAUCAGGUAGCUUUCAACCUCCUGACAAUUAAUAGCCUUUGGUCGAGGGAGAACAGUGCAAAAACGCUGGAAGGGAUGGGUUUCAAAACAGCUUGCUUAGUUUCUAGUAAAUUAAAGGGAGUGGGCGGUUGAGGUACACAGUAAUAUUAUCCAGCCCAGUGUGGUCUUCACUGACGUCAGCAGGACAUUUUUUUCCCUUCUUUUUCCCUCUGUCUGCCUGCCUCCUGAAAAGAGACACAUGGAGGCUAACGCUGUGACAGAAGCAUGGCUCACAUACCCGGAGAACCUCCAGCUUUCCAUCAACAAAGCCAGAGCGCAGAUGCUGCUGUGUUGCAAAUGAGCAGCACCAAAAUAUAUGCAAGUCAUUUCAGAGGAGGAAAAAAGCUGUUGGAAACAGAAAUCAUGAGGACUUGCAGUAUGUAUUUCUCUUUGUGUUGCAUGAUUAACUGUUCUGACUAAGACAACGUUCUUCCUGUGGCUAAGAACACAUCCUCAUCUCAGAUUUUACUUGAAAUAGCACAUUUGACCGUGACCCCUCCCCACAACUGCUGUGCCCAUCCCAGUACAGCUCUGUGGUGUUUGCAACUGUGUUUUCUCAGUCUCACUGAACACAUAGUUUUCUCUGAGGCCCCUGUACUGUAGGCUGGAGGCAUUAUACAAGAGCUGCCAGCUUUGCACCGAAAAUAUGCCAAUAAUUUCAGAAGAAAAAUUCCACUAUGCUUUCAGCAAACGUGAUCUCUGUGCACCAUCCUGCACUAUGCAGCCUUUUCAUGCACUACUACUUACAUAUGGAGUAAAAGGUGGUUGGACAGCAAAUAAAAAGUGUACAACACUGAAAUGCUGCAGGUAGGAAAAAUGGCCCUUAGGCUCGUAGCCGUCACCUUCCAGGUGAAACAUAACACUACAGUGGCCACAUUCACUGGGUCAAAAACGUGAAACACAGAAAGUGUCCAGACCAGGGUUUUUUUAGGGUUGCAAGAGACAAAGGGGACUUUUUUAUAACAAAAAUGUGUACUGAAGCUGCUGUGCCAGGUUCUGACUCAACACAGACACAUGCAUACUGCUCAAAGUGGAAGAUUUUUCCAGUAAUUGAGUGGACUGAAUGAGCUCAUCAUGACCCACUGAGCAAGUUUUCUUAGUAUUCUUUUUGGGCAAGAGAACAGCUUUGAUCAGUGUUUGCACUCAUUUGACUUUUCCCCUGUUCCCAAACUUUUGUUCCUUUCAUUAAACACCCGUUCCAUUCGGCUCCUCUUGGUGAAAGGAGCAAUUUUUUCCUAAGUGUAGCCACGGGACUUAAGUAAAUAUCACUGAAGCAUUAAAAAUCCAAUGUAUUAAUGAAAUUAUACUGCAGGCAUUGUCAAGUUGCAGGAUCACCAGAGCGAGAGCAGGAGAAGAGUACUGUCCAUGAAAGCCAAAAGACACGGUUGUUCCACAGAACACUGCAGACACAGACAGGGCAUCCUUGUGCAGGAGGCUGAAGGGGAUGUGUGAAAGUGGAAGACCAUGAAUCACUGCAAACAAAUUAUGUGAUCACCAACUGGCACAUUCUUCUUCUCCUUCCAUAUCCUGAUCCUCUGCUUUUCAUGAUGGUCACCCAUGCAAAUUGAUGGCAUUCUGCCUGCUGUCCUGAAGAGCAUUUUUGCUGCUUGUUAUUAAGGUAUGAAACUUUACAUGGUGUGAAGGUUGAGGAAAAGGUCUUGAACCAAGUCAUUUUGGGCAGGAGUAAGCUACAAUUCCCUUAGGACCACAGCUAUAGACUGGGCUUUGCUGCAAACACCCCACAUCUUUGUGUGCCUGCCUUCGGAGAACAGGUCAGAGAUUUUUACAAGGAAGUAUCGCCCGUUGGCCUUUUCUGCAAGUUGCCUGCUGAGGUCCCUUUGACAACAGUGUCUUUCAGGAUUUAUUUGCAACUUUCAUUAGGGCAUUUUGGAGAAAAAAUAAAGAAGGAAUGAAUAGCUAUCCGUAAUUACAACUCAGCGUGGCAGUGCCUGUGGGUUAAUGUAGCUCAUAUCUCCAAGUUGGCACUCCUGAGUUUUAGCCCCCAACCUAUGCUCCCUUCUUCCUGCAAAUGGAAAGCCCCCAUUGCUUUACACAGUAGGCAAAGACAAUUACCCUCUGGACUUUGAAAGAAAAGGAACUUCGAUGAAUAUGUAACUCAGCUAAGCAGCACUUUUCAUUUAAAAGAAAACACUCUUCCAUUUUCACACCCAACAGGUGCAGCCCAGGUGGUAGCCUGCUUUCUUCCAAGGUGUCACCGAAGAGUAGGAACGGCUCCCCAAAGCCCUACCUACACAGCUUCAGGCUCUCUGACUGGGCAUUUCGACAGCUCAGCUGUGGCCACAACAGCCUGCAGCCCAGUGUGCCUGGCCAUGGCAGGUGAGGUUGAAAGGAAAUCCACAGGCUUCUCCAGUUCUCUUUUUCAGCUAUUUUUGGAGAUGUAGUCAAGUCUAGGCCACAUUGAUCCCACAGCUAUCUUCAGACAGCCUUUGGCCACCCUCCCAUGUGAGAGCAGAGCUUAAGCCCAGGUUUUAAGUUCCAAGCAAGGUGGCCCUGAUGGUGCAAAACAUAGCCCAGAUUGCUCAGCUUGGACUGAGGCUGUCAAUGUACACUGGUUUUGUAGCAGAGGAUCGAUGGCAGCUGUCAACCCAUGUCACCCUGGCCACCAAACAGCCAUGGGCUGGUAAUGGGUCUGAGCCACUCAUGCUGCAGGCAAGGCUGAAGGUGGACCUGAAGGUGCACUUGCCUGAAGGUGGAAACAAGACCACCACGCAGAGCAAUGCCCCAUCACCCCCAGACAAAUGCAAGCAAAAAUGUUAACCAUCCCAUGGGACAGGCCCCUGGAAAAUAUUUUAUGUGAUUGCUUCUUACUAGCCCUGGUGAAAAGCAUGCAAAGAGUGCUGCACAUCUCAGCUGGCAGGCAAAGAGUCCUUUACAGGGACACCCAUGAAUUAUUAUUACCACCAUUCUCCUUUACAAAGCCUUCAGAAAUCUUUCCAAGAUGGUAUUUUUGUGGCCAGACAAAGGUCAGAGACCCUGCUAUGAUAAAUCAGGCCUGAUUCGGAGGCAGGUUCAGCUGACAGAGUCAUCUGACCAGGGCAGCUGUGCACAGACCCUGAACCAGUUCCCUUCUUGUGUCUCUGUCAGGCUGGGCAUGAAGCUCAGACAUCUGCUAGUUCCUGAAUUACAGCGUGCAUGCAAUAACGGACGUGCCCUGCUCGGGGAAGCUUGUGUUUAUUAUUUUCCAAGCUUUGCAUCAACUACACACACAACCAGACCGCAGCGUCCGGUCACCAAAUCUGCUGUGUGCAGCUGCGUUGGCUGCUAAAAUGAAUGGUGACUUCGUAAGGCUGUGGCUUCCCUAGGAAAAAAAAAGAAAAAAACAAAACUAAAGGAAUAAAUUUGCAUUUCCCCUUUUCUGUCUUGCCAAAUCCUUCUCUUCGAGAAACUACGCAAAGUCCUCCUAGGUAGCAUCGUACUUGUAAGGAGGGCAGCAGGCCCAGCCAUAUCGCCCACAGUUUUGUUCGUGUCCAGCAAAAAUGUUUGGGGAUAGUUCACAGCCACCCGGUGGGGGCCAGCGCAGCCACGUAUUCCCUGGGGUUUGGGGAGGAUUGAUGUCAACCCAGAGCCAAAGCAAGGACAAGUGGCCCCACGGGACUCCCCAGCAUGUCCUGGGUGCCCUGCUGAGCACCACCACAAUCGGCUCUUGCUAUCAUGCCAGUCUGGGCCCCAGUGCAUCCCCUGCCCUAUUCCCACUCCGUGCCUGCCUUCUGAGGUGCUGUUUGUGCUCCCCCAUGAAAAAAUGCUGCCUCACUGAGUGGCCCUGGGUCAUUCCCUGUACUGCCACCUGCCCCAGCAGGAAACUGCGGCUGCCAGGCCCCCAGUAGCCUGUGCAGAAAGCUGGGGCACCCCUCUAGACCCAAAAAUGCCCACAUUGGGGUAGGUGGCAGCUGGGGUCCCCCCACAGCCAUCACCAGUGUUCAGCGUGAGCUCCCAGCUCACAGCUGUUGUCCACAAAGACGCUGAAAUCCCCUUCCACCAUUCCCCUGCCAGUACCACUGAGCUGCACUGCUUUGACCUUUUCAGGGAAAUCUGCCUGGAUGCUUUGGCUCUGACCCCUGGCAGCUGUAUCAGAGGGGGAGCUGAGCCCACUGUAAAGGUCAGAGAGGCACAGCCUGCCCCUCAGGGGGCUGCUGGUCCUGCCAACUCAGCUGUUGUCUUCCCAUGACUACAGCUGCCAUUGCUGCUUGGAAAGGGCAUGAGCACGAUCCUGUUCUUACAGUCUAGAAAUCGUAAGGCCAUGGUCUCAGACGGGCUCUCAGAAACAGGAGAGGCAAGGUGCUCUGCCCUGGCUCCUUGUCAGGGAAAACUGAGAAGGGUCCUCACAAGAAGCUGCUUUUAGGGUUGAUCACUUCUCAGAGCUACUUAGUUACGCACUCAAAGGGCCAAGCCUUGUGCUUCACAUAAGGCAUUUGUGUCUGCUUGAAAAAAGUUUUUAAAAGCCCCUGAGGCAGAGAAAUUUUAAAGACACAGCAAAAAACCCCAAAGCUUCAAGCCUGCAAGCACCUCUUCUAACCAUACACAAAUCGCUUCCAUAUUUUACAAGUUUUAAAGAGUGUGUGUAUGUGCUUUGUAAAUCAGCAAGCCUGACCCUGAAGCCAUCCAAAACUCAUGAUCAAAAACUUCUGAGUAUUUGAGGUGCAGGUGACAUCAUUCUCCAAAGGGUUCCUUCAUCUAAGUAAGAAAAAAAAGGAAUUUUUGAAGUAGAACAACAGAAGCUCUGAAAACUUGCUUUCUGUGCCAGGAAACAUGAUGCAUAAUGGGGACACACACAGUCCCAUCAGUACAAGCAAAAAGCAAACAGAACCUAUUUUCUGUACUUAUGGGACUAAAAUGACCUCCAGACAAAUGCCCCACCACCUAUGACAUUUGACUGUUCAGAAACAAAAAUCUGUCCUGUGGCCUCUGCGCUUUCUGUCUACCCUCCCGCAUCUCUACAUCCAGCCUGGGGAGCACAGGUAGGGCAUGGGGACAUGGCUGAGGGGUGCUGCCACCCACAUACUUCUGUGGUGUCCUCACUGUAGUGCCCCUGGGUUUCUGCCAACACUGUUGAACGGCUACAGUUCACACGUUGCUGUGUCAAAGUUUCUUGGUACCCAGUUUCAGGGUAGCAUAACAUCCCAGAAGGCUGGGCUGUGGCCACUACCAAAAUAGCUCAGGUUUGCUCCCUUACCCCAGGGCUGUGACUGUGAGACCAAGUCAUGCAAUCCAAUAGGAGCAGAGCAUAUCUGUAGGGCAAAGCACUGGGGAUUAAGGAUAUUACAUCCAUGUAGUGCACAUUUUAAAAGGGUUGCAUCAGACUAGCUGCAGUCUGGCUCUAUGAACUCAGCUAGGAAGCAGACAGGGAGCUCCCAGAGAGCACUUUCCAGUUCAGUUUCUUCCACCAGAAACCCAGCCUAUGUAUUGCAAGGUCACCCCACAAGGUGGAAAGUUGUGUGGGAGUAACAAGGGUGUUUGUCCAAAAGUCAUCCCCAGCCUGAACUGAGCCAGUAAUGCAGGCACUUCCAGCUCAUCUGCCGGUCCUGGGCACAGAAAUGGAAGAGCCCCAGUGCCACUGCUCACCAGACGCUAAGUGAUUUGUAUGAGCAACCUAGGUAGACCCAGGCAACCUGACACAAGGCACAAGCACAAAGGACACUGGCUGAGAAGGUGAAGGAAAGGAGAUAUGUUUAGGAAGACAGUGCUGCAGAGGAGGAUGGAUGCAGUUACAGACCCUGCCUGUGUACACUGAGAUCCAGCGGGACAGGACAAGGUUUUUUGGGCCAUCCCAUCUCAUCUCCAUUUCCAUCCUCGGCCCACAGUGUGCUCCUGCAGGCUGUGGUGAGAGAGAGGAAGGUGUUCCUCAAUGUCCUCAAUGCACAUCUGAGUGAAGGCCUGGGCCUGGGGGUGGAAGCAGUGGGGCAGGGGCAUCCAGCUCAGCCCAGCCUCCUCCGGGAAAAGGCAGUUGGGCAGGCUGGCCUGCAGCCCAGGCAUUCAGAAAGGAUACGAAAGCUCAUCAUUGUGAAAGCAGGAGGUGACAGUUCAUGCUAAGGCAAGGGGCUCCAGGGUGAUUUCACUGCCAGCAUUACGUACAGCUCGGUGUGCCACAACUCUGCAGCUCCUCAGAGCUCCCCUCCAGCACAGCGGCCUCAGCAAGCCUCUAGGAGCGUUGUCCCUCAUUCACCAGCCAGGGCAGCUCACAGCAUGGCCAAGGACAACUCUUCUGCUUUGACAUACCCACAGGACUUGUCAUAUCUUUGUCUUUAUAGGGAAGAACAAAGACAGGAAGAUAAAGGCAAACAUUUGUGACAAAAAAGAGGUGCAAAAUCACAAAGGUGCCAGGUAGUUUGGAGUUCCAUGGAAAGGCAGGGCCAUCUCAAACAGCCAGAUGCCCAUGAAAUGUUAUUUCUGGGCACCACUUCAGAACUGACUUGGAGGGAAGUGUGACAUUUACUGAGUCACCUCCACCACUUCCUGCAGCACCUGGCGCUUACUUCAAGGGCUCUCAUUUAGAUACUGAGAACUUGCUUGCUGUUCAGGCUGAAAAUAACACCAUUUACUUUCAUUUUUUUUCUGAAAAGCUUUGCUGAAAUCAUGAUCUGUAAUGCAACAGCCUUCACUGCAGCCCCAUGUGCAGUUCACAAGCAGGAUGAAAGAGCAGCUUAAAAGCUGUCAGUCACCUGGUACUUCUCCCAGGAGGCAAUCAGCAACACAUAGCUGCUUUCUCCUUGAAUCCAGUAACCAGCAACAAGACUUCCGUUUUCCAAGCCACCCAAGCCAUGCAGCAUCCUGAGCACUGAUGGAGGUUUUCGCCACUUCCCCCGACUGCCCCAGUAAGCUGUGGCCUCCUCAGCCUCAAACAUGGGCUGCAGCGGCCGCACCAUGAACAGAAAUAACUUUGAAGGACAGCUCUGAAUCUCUGCCUUUAUGAAGAGUCAUUUAGGGCUCCUGUGUCCCUGCUUGUUCCUGUCAGAACGCUCCAAGGCCCGGGAUGCACAGUCUCAAAGUGCAAGCAAUUUCUGAGAAGAGGAAUUGAAAAGAAAAGCUAAAUCUAAUUUAAAAAAAACAAACCACAAAACCAACAAUCAAACACAGACAAGUAUUUCUUUAGUUUCACAUCUAAAUUAUUUUUACACAUUUUUUCUGCUUUUAAGUACUCCCCUUGCUGAGGAUCUAAAACUCUGAUUAAUUAAUUGUGUAUACACAUUAAGCCUCCCUGGUUUGAUAUCCAGUUUGUUAAUAAGAAAAGGACAGAUUUUCCACCUUGGUAUUACAGAAUUUACACAACGUUUCACAUUCAAUCCAAAAACAUUUGUGGUGUUUCUUUCAAAAGUUGAAGCUGGAUGAAGAACAUCUUGUCCUUAUGAAGACAAAACCUUCCAUUAAAGGCCAUUACAAUCACAAAGGAUCAGCCACCUAAACCCAAGUGUCUUUGUUGGCAGCACAUCCAUUAAAACAACUACUAGAACGGGAUAUGACAUGUGAAUGUUUAGUCUGUGGAAAAAAAAGAAAAAGGCAAAAAAAAAAGUAUCAAAUGUAGAAAUGUAGAAAUGUCAAGGGUGAAAGAGGAACUGGGGUUGUUUGCUGUUAAAAAUGUCGCCACUUGCAUCACACUGGCCUGCGAGAGCCAUGCCUGCAGAAGCACUAUAGAAGUUCUAGGAAAGGAUGAAAAACCUCCCUUUCUUGUGAAAUACACUGUUUUCCCAGAGACCAUUCCAAUUCAGAGUCAGACAGGAGUAAAUGUGCAAAGCUGUCUGAGAAGAGCUGCAAACCCAUGUUGUUCUGCCCGUGCAUUUGGAUGUCAGAGCCGCCAGGACACACCAUACAGCGGCUCUGCAGCGCCAGGGAGAACAGUGCUCACCCAGCAAAGAGCAAACCCACCCACUCUGCUGAUGCUCUGCUUGCUCCCUUGCUUUGGGCAGACUCUAAGGGAAUAGUUCAUUUGUUUCCAGCCUCUCCUUGUUUCUCUGGUCUGGGAUAUCGACCAAAAGGCACAGAAAAAUGUCAUGUGGACAAUAAACUGCCUAUUUAAAGGAAUUAAUAUUGCUGCAUUAAGCCUCCAGGGUCUGGGAGGAUUCAUACAGGUACACAGCUGGACAUUCAGCUCCGAAAAAUGAGGCUGGACAGAGUAAGACAAAAUUAUGUUCUCUCCACCUGGACAUAUUUUAUAGCCUGUCAGUCUGCCACAUUAAAUGGAAGAGAGGAAAGACCAGUUGGGACGUGCACCCAAGCUUAGAUCUUCUGAUCAUUCCUCUUUUUUCCCCUCUUUCUACUCAUAUACCUGGAGACUUUGAAAACUAGGUGCAGGCUGGGGCUGGUUAUGAACCAAAACAAGGAGAUGGCUGUUGUGGACAUCUGUACUUGCUUUCUUGUGGGACUUGUCAGAAAAAGAGGCAGGCAGCAUUUUUACUGGAAGGGGAGAUUAAUCAUCUAGGAGAUGCAAACACAAGAGAAGAGAAAAUAGAGUCUGUUGAGACACUUCCAGCUACAUUGUGCCCCUUGCCCAGCUUGUUCCUUGCCUUGAGGGCAGGCUCAGCACCCGAAGGUCUCCAGGGCUCUGAAAGAGCAGAGCUGCAGGGGAGUGGCUGUGUGCCAGAGACAAGCACCUCCCAUGCCACUGCAAAGGCAGCAAGAUCCUGUACACAGCCACUUUCUUCAUAAAAUUACAGAAAAUGCUAAUUUAUGGCAAAUCCUUCCCAAUUAAGGAGCAUAAAGCUCCACAGUUAAUCAAGCUGAUUAAAUGAAUUAAACUUGUUAAGAACAGUUUUAUCAAAACAUUUACAUUUCUGCUGAGCAGAGAUUCAUGUGACUUUGAGCUGCAAAGUAUACAGUUGCCAUGAGAGGACUGAAAAGAGGAUUUGGAACAUUAACCAUGUAAAAAAUCAAGCCUACCACUGCUUUUCCUAGCAUUCAUUUAAACAAAGGAGUUCCCUACUCCAUUAAUUUCAUAACCAUGUCAGGUAUCUCCUACUUUCUGGAAAGAGAGGCAUUGUUUACCCACAGUGGUAGAAAACAUAUGGGUCCAUGGGUCCAAAGGUAGGGAAUCCAUCCCCACCUUAAGAAACAUCUCCAAGCCAAAGUGCUGCCAGAGGUCCUGGGAGAGCAGCACCCCUCACCCAACCUAUGGUGCACAUCCAUGGCACUUGUACAGGUAAAAUGAUGGUCUGGGUCCGAGAGCACCCAUAAAGAAAUGUGUCCGUAAGAGUACACAAUACAAAUACCCACAGCUAUCUGAAGGAUUAAAGUAACUGAGCAGGGGAUUUUUUCCUUGCAUAUAAAUCUGCUCAGCUUUAGGCCCCACAGACAUGGGUCCAAUAAAUGUCUUAGAGGCCUAACUUCUUAAUUUAGACACUUGUCUUCAGUGUCACCCAUCCAAGGAGCAGUGUACUGCUGAGAGGAACUGGACAUUCAACCAGCAUCCUACAUCCUUCAUAAGCGAGCUGAGCAGGUUGAUGGUGACAUCCCAUUUACCUGUGCCACACCAUGACCCACCAGCCCCAUGUCUUCCCAGAGCCUCACUUGAUGGGGCUGAGCUGGGAGCAGACAGACCUGUAAUGGCUGGACACAGGCUGAGCUGGUAUUGAGGGUUUUCUCUGCUUAUGCAGAGAGAGAGGCACCCUCUCACAACACUCCACACCUCUUUCAGAAUAAAUAACAUGUGGGGUUUGCUGUCUGUCUGCUCACUGUAGAGCAAGUCAUGAUGAUAGGACUUACACUGAAUGCCUCACUCCUGCACAGCUCAAAUACAACACACCAUGGCCAGGAACAAGGUAUCUAACCAAAGAGCAGCAGCCAUGCCUGUCACAAAUGGGUAGCCCAUGUGCAUGCAGAAGGCAGCUUAGCGUGGGCUUCGGAUCCUUCUCAAAUAUUUAGCCCACCUCACUGAUGGGUUUUCUUUGCUGCUGCAACAUGCAGUGCUCUCCACAGCAGGCAAUUUGAAUGUAGCGCUGCGUGUCUGCCCAGCACUGCAUCCACAAUAAUGUCCUGCCAACUGAGGAUUUAAACAGUGAGACUGCACAGUUCCAGCUAAGAAGGCAGUGAAGUGGGAACAAGCAUGUUUAGAAGAUCUGCAGGUUCAGCAUUUUGCAGUGAGUUCUGCUAAGGCAAAGACAAACUUGGCAUUGGUACUUCAUCUUCUGUGCCAUAUGCUUUAUUCAUCUGAGAAUUGUUUUUUUCCUGCAGGGCAGGGUGGAUUGGCAGGUAUGGAAAGAAAUUCAUUAAAAUUACUUUGGUUGGUUCUUUGUGCUGGCCACCAUCUUCAUUUUGGUUUUUAUUUCUCAUGCCCAGAACAAUCCUGAAACAAAGACAUCCUCUGCUGGAGCACGAUAAAAACUCUCAAAAGGAGUGCCUGAAAGGCCAUGCUCCUUGGAUGAGCCUGUAAAGGCUGCAAGUUGUGGCUGGAGUAUUUAUAAAGAGUGGUAGAAACCAAGAGACUGAUAAUAAAAGUAACACAUGUUAAGAACCCAAAUAUGCUUACAUUCCAUGCAACAACUGAGUAUUGGCAAAGGUACCAUCUGUUUAUGUGCGAGCCACUUGCCUGGUUUUGCAACAACAGGUUUCUCAGAUGAUGCUUGAACUGAGCUACCUAUUCAGUUUUGCACUAAUUGUCUGAUAAAUGGCAGCCUUUUUAGUGGAAAGACAGACAUUUGAUUAUUUUAGGUUCAGGGAUUCUGGCCAAUUCCUUCCCAAAAGUGGCUGGGGUUGAAUAGCCAAAGAAAAUUUAUGCAUUUAAACUUGAUGAUGCUUAAACACUGCAAGUAAGAACACAGAAAUGGACAGAAGCCUGAGGGGUACCAGAAAUCUCCAGCAAAAUUACUUAUCUAUUCAGAGAAACUGCCAGCAGCUCCUGAUAGUGGCCAUUACAAAUGUAUUUCCAUGUUCUACCCUUUUAAAAUAUAUAUUAUUUUCAGUUAAAAAGAAGUUUGCAUUCAUUCUUGAAGUCCUGUGAUGUUUCUGCACCAAGUAGUUUCCAGGUCUGUCCAUAGGCUGUAGCAAGUUUUUGUUUAUCCAUACAGACAAAGCUUUGAAGGGUUCAGACCACAAAAGCAGAAAUCAACUAACUCAUGAGCCACAGGCAAACAGGGUGGGACAUUUGGCUCCCAUGGCUGUAGGAGAAGGUUCCAGUUCACUGCCAGUUUGACGCAAUGAUACUGGGUAGCCACACAGACAAAGCCCUUUGCCUCUCUCCUUUCCUUAAUUGUGAGGUUAGGUACAAAACCCUUCCUACUUCCACCUCUAAUGCCUACAGGGAAGAAAUACUCCAAAAAGUUUCUUAAGAAAGAUGAAAACUGCAUAGACAUCCUAGUAAAUGCUCUUCAGGUAGUGUAUGUUUCACAGGUUGGGCUUAGGUGUCAUUUACAGAUUUGGUUGAAAUUGAGUCCUUUCAUAUUCUAAUCCACACUGAAUAUAAAAAUGUAGUGUCUCCUGCACAUACAAAGUGCAUAUACCAUUCCAAAGCUUUUACGUGUCCAGAUAAUCAGCUCUUAAAACCCCUGCCUGAGUUUCAGCAGAAUGCAUUAGUGCUGAGAAUAACCAAGGGCUGGAUUUCUCCAGAAGGGCCUUGCUCAUCACUUUAAUGCUCUUCCCUUUCCAUAUAGCCAAAGUGUCAGCCUGCCCAGACCCCAGGGAGUGUCCAGUGCAACUAUCAAUGGAGACGAAUUGUUUCCCAAGCUGGGCACUUAUGAUCCUGUAAAGCAUUUCUUUCUCUUUCUGUUAAAGGAUCAUUUUGGAUGUAGUAAUGAGGAGGAGCAUGACAGGUUUGGUUUCUAGUUAUGAUCUCACCAAAAAAAUGUUUCUGAAAUGGGGGAUUGGGAAGGAAAACAGCAUCUAACAGCUCCUGCUGAGACACAGGCAAUGCAAGGAAACAUUUGGAAAAAUAAUCCAUAGCAGUUGGUGGAAAAGGUUUUACAAAUGGAAAAGAAGUAUUCAACUAAAUCCUGGUUUAUAAAAUAAGUGGGCCUCAUUUGGACCUGUAGAGAGGUGAAGAACAUAGUGUCAUUGAGCAGAAGAGAGGUGGCUUUUCUCUGCAGUGUGCUGUUGGGUCUGACCCAUCCUCAAAACAGAUAAAGCAACUGCCGGCAUUUGUAUGUCAAAGAGAUGUUGGCAUAUUGGAAAGAAUUCAACAAUGAACAACAAUCAAAUAACUAAAGGGAAGAUUAAAUAACUAAAUAGUACAGUUUGGAUAAGUUAAUCCCUAAGAGAAAGAUAAAAUCAUUUGGAAGUAUCAAUAACAUCAGGAAGAGAGUGCUGUUUACAGAGCUCCAGAUGAGGUGUAACAAGAAAGGAAAAUACCUCUUCCUGCAGAAAGGGAAAACACAGACUGGAAGUUUGAGCUGCUAACCCCCUGCUGGUGACCUUCACAGCCCUCUCAACACCCUGCCAAAACCUCAGCUGGUGCAGAGGUUGCAGAGCGCAUCCCCUGGGCCACUCACAGCCAUGAUGGCAACACCCUUCUGCUAAGCAACCUGCCACACACGCCAUGUGUGCUGCACACCAGUAGGCUCCUGUCCCCCUGUGCUUGCACCUCCCACAUGGAAAGUGAAAGCCAAAGUUUCCAAAGCCACUUUCCCAUCACUAAAAUACCAUUUCUCCCCAGCAUUUGAUUCAACAGCAAAGCACAAAGUACCUGGUAGGUCUGCAAAACAGCAAGUCCACCUCUGGAGCCUGCAAAUGCCACAUCACAAGCACAGGUCAGUACUUGCCUGUAGCAAUUGGAUAACUGGAUGGGUAGCAGCAGGAUUUCACACACACCCCUACAUGUUUUCUGGUGGGCCCAUCCACAGAGCCAGUUUCUAAUUUCUCCCUGUGAGCUCUGUCUGGAGUUAAAGCUGCUUAACUCUUCCCAUUAGUGAUGGCUUGCUCGAGCUCAAAUACACCAUGCUGGAUGUCUGCCUCAGGCAGACUCUUCUGGCAAAUUUUAGCUAAAAUAAUUCAACUGUCUCCUAGAAUGAGAUUAGAAAGAUAGAUGUUAGCUUGCUCUGUUCAGAUCAAGCAUGUCUGGCUUCAGAGGAUGGUACUGCUACUCAGCCAGGGAAGGGGGAUGUGCCUUUGUAAGGGUCCCAAGUUCCCCCACCUGUGGUCAAGUUACAAGUUAUACAAAGCCUCACUCCGCAUGUGCCUCAUGGGGGCUUGUUUGAGUUUGGUAGAUAAUUUAUCUGAGGACCCCAUCUGUUUUGGUCUUGCUGUAGGCCAGGGACACAGGUGCUGCCUACCAUCACCAAUGCUGAGGGCUGCCGUCAGCUGUGCCCUUGAAGGUGAAGCAAGGAUCCUUCAUCCUGCACAGCUGCAAUUAAGCAGGACAAGGACCCUUCCCCACACAACCUCAACUCCCCUGGGAACUGUCUGCCCUGGGCAUCAAAAGAUACAGAGUUGUUGUCAGGGGAAAACCAGUAUUUACAUAUGGAUUUUAAUCCUGUAGCUAAAAGCAUCACUAUCAUGGUGCCUGUGCAGAUGGGACUCAGACAGAAAGUGUUACAUCAGUCAUUUCUAACUGCUGAGUGCUUGACCCUACAAGCUUCCCAUACUUUCCGUCUAUGUUGGGUUUGUGUCAUUUCCUUGAUUUACACAUGGCAAACUGAAACAAAAAUGCAGGAAUCCCAUCAUGUGAUAUCACACUGGCUUCCGCGUGACUCACCAGCAGGGCUGGCUCCAUUCUCAGAUGUUAAUUCCAUCAUGCUUGAAAAACAGAAUAACUGGGAAUACUGAUAGCCCAACAACCUCUGCUGAAGGAGCAGGCAGAAAUGACUCACAGCCUGUGCCAUCCACUUCCCCAUGUAUUUGCUGACAACAGACAAUUACUGCAGAGCAGAAAGCCCUGGGUUUGCUAUACUCCAGGUUCUGCAGAAGGUAUGAUUUGGUGAGGUGAGAAUACUCCCAAAUCUGACUUCUUCUGCUCCUCUGGGUGCUUCCAGCCUGUCUUGUGCCUUAGUCCUGCUCCCAUAUCCAUCUCCACAUCUGACAUCAGUUCCUCUCUCUGGGCAGGGGGCCCUCAGCCUUUGCACUGCAGUAGGGUUCCCUCUCGCCUUCCCUCCCUCCCGCAGCCAGGUCCUAGCCCUAGUCAGCAUCAGCCUUCCUGCAUGUUCACCUCAGUAUCAGCAGAGCACAUCUGCGAGCACCUCCAGGCUCUGGUGCACAGCACUGCAGUGACCCUGUCAGCACAGAAAAACAAUGUCCAAGAGCUGCUGCUUGGCACUUGCAGCAGGAGGCUGCAGCCUGCCUGCCAUAUCAUCAUCUGAUUUAGCCAUCACACUUGAACAAGUAUCCACUGAGCAAGUGUCUUCAGAGAAUUCAGAUUCUAAUUCUUAAGAAGUUUCUGUUGAGUGGCUGAGAUCUGAGGCCCUCUUUUCCCUAUGGUUUCUUAGUUCAGCUGAUUUCUUUUUUUCCCCAUGAAAAACAAACAAAGGUUGUUUUGAUAUCUGAUAUCUGCCAAAUUUCAAGCCUCCCCUGUAGAGGCAAAAAUUGCUAGAGUUCAUCAACAGAUCACUUUAAAAACAUGUCUGAAUAUGAAGGAAAAAAAUAUUGUUUCUCUCAUCUCUUUCUUGUAAGCAAACAAAAACAUUUUCUGCUGAAGCUUGCCAGAUGCAUUCAGCUUGAGACAGAUACCCAGAACAGCUAAGUGGUAGAUAGAUAAAGUUUUCAGUGGUUUACAAGCAACUGAACACUUGGUCUUAUAAGAAACGUUAGACAGUCUUAAAAAUAGAUAGAGUCCACAUCAAAGUCAUCAAGUACCUGUAAUUUAAACUGAGCUUCUGCUGAGUCAGGAGUAAAGAUGAACAGAAAAUGCAUUAAUUUGAUGGUAAAUUCCCCAAAUUUGUAACUGCUUUUGUACUUUCUAAGAGGACUGUGGUGAAGAGACUUGUUUCCUUCAGAAGUGCCUGUGUUCUGCCACAAGCUGCCUAAGCAGAAACUGCCUGGGAUCUAAAUGAGCUUGACGAGUGAUUCUCCCCAGGACCUCCACUGGCUCUCCAGGAGCCCACUCUGGGACCUGGAGCUGUAUCUUCCCACUUCCCUGCCCGCACAGACCUCCAGGGCAGGCUACUCAUUCUGGGGGGGCAUCACAAGGAAGCAGGUGCCAAGCACAUGUGUUGCAUUGCUCAGUACUUGAUUGGGAGCUAGAAACAGAAAGCUGCUGAGCUGGGCAGGGGAGCAACGGCCCUGGCUUUUUGGAUUUACUGUGUAAGUGUGGAUUAUUUAGAGCCUGGAGUAAUGGGACCCCUCAGUGAAGGAUGCUGCCAAACAGAGGGAAAUCUGUGGGUUGGUAUUUUGGAUCAGGCCAGGAAGGUCGCAUCAUUUUGCAAUUAUGUUAUGGCAUGAACUAACAAAAGCCUCGGCCCAUCUCCUGGCCUGUCACUGCUGAGCAUUUCCAUCUCUACAUCACACCCACACACACACAUGCACACACUCUCCCUGAACAGGGCCAUCCCACCAUUACUCAUCAUGGCACCAUACCCUACAUCAGGCUGCUCUUGCUCAUGAAGCAUGUGUGCAGAAUGUGCAAUCCUCUGCCACCUCAUUUUCAAAGCACAGGCAAAGCCUAUUCCCCAUUUGUUUAUGCAGACAUGAAUAGGAGGCAGGUAGCAGGUCUGCAGACAGAUGGGCUCAACCUGUCCUUCUUUCCUUCCUCUUGCCUCCCACCUUUUCCCAAGAAUGCCCACUACACGCUUGCACCUGCAGUGGUGCCACAGCACUUGCUGAAACACCUCUCCCCCUGUUUCAGGGAUGGUUUCACCUGUGACCACCAAGCUGGUGCUGGUAUUUCACAGUGCUGCUCUUCAAGGCCCUCUUUCAUAGCCAAACCAUGAUUCAUCAUCCUUGCAACUGGGAACCUGCUUAUUUAUUGAUCUUUGCUGACAGAAACAGACUGGAGACGGGGUACAGGGGCCAGGAGAGAAUGGUGUUUUGAUUUCUGUGCUUUUGGUUUUGUCUGGGCAAUAUAGAAAAGCUGCCCUUACACCAAUGGUGUGGCCACUGCUGGGACAGCAAGGGCAUGAACAAGAGGGCCCGUGAGCCCUGCAGUGCUGCAUGAGGUGUAAUGGUAACAUUCCGUAAAGGGAAACCCAUGCACAAGUUUUCAUGUGAAUAAUGAAAACCCAAGCCUUCUCACUCUUCGCCACAUUCCAGUCCCUCCUCCUGUUUUCUCUAUAAUUCCAUUUUCAUCUCUCUCCCUUCUUUGUACCCCAGUUUUACAGAUAUUGCUCUUUUGGCGAAGAGCAUCCCUGUACUGAGAUGAUGAGUUUAUAAGGCAGAGGGCUGCAACAAAUGCCUCGUGAAGCCCAGCCAGCAGCCCCCAGCCCCCUUCUUCCCCUCCUCAAAGUUCACACGGUUUAGUAUGCAAGCUUCCUGCUGCCUGCCCAGCCAGUUCACUAUUCACAGGCAAACUGCGCUCCUCCGCUUGGCUCCCGAAGAAGAAUAAGUAUAAAAAGCCCUCAAAGUCUUGCUGCUGAGCCAGCAGGAAACUCAAACUGCUCUGAGCAUGGGAACCAAGAGAAAUGCUGUGGCCAGCACAACAGGUAUUGUUUGGGAGGAAAUCCCGGCAGCAGACACGACUGCCUACGCACACACAGAUAUAUAUGUAUAUGUUUAGUGAGGGCUUGGCAAAAGGGAGGGUUGGGGAAGUGUACAAGGAGAGAAGAAUAGAUUAGCAGAUAUAUCCAAGAAAGAAUAAGAAAGCUGCUCAGCCAAGAUAAACAGCUAUAUCACUAGCCAAAGAACCAACCCAUUUGCCACGCAUUUGAACCAUGUGGGACCUCAAGGUAAAGUGACGUGUCUUGACCUUGGUCUCUUGACAUUGGGUUCUUGACAAGUCUUUCUAUGUCCUGGAUUUUGUUCACGUCAUGAGUGAGUUUAUGAGGCAAAUAGCAUGUUUCUCCCACUUGCUGUUUUGAUUUAUGUCAGGGAACAUUUUUUUAUCUGGAUUCCCUUUGAGUGAAAGGAAAUGAGGAGAUGGACUCCAGGAGCACAGCUCCUGCACUCCAACCCCGAAUGAGCAUCCAGUCCCUGGGAACCAGAGCUGAGGCAGUCUGAUGUAAAUCCCCUGACACAGCAUGUGCUCGCACCAAACAGCCACCUCUGUGAAUCUGCUUCCUGAUGCACCACACCAGCUGCUAACCAUUGGCACAGUCUAUCUGCAAAUAUGGUAAAUUUAAGUGCAAAAGGAAAAGGAAAAAGGAAAAACUUGAAUUACAUACUUCUUUUUUCAGUGAAUAAAAAAAAAGUGAACAAAAGCUGUGGUAAAUGAGCUCACAAAUGUCACAUUCACAGGGAUCACAAUAAGAAGUUUGACGAGAUUAUGGUGAUCUAAAAGUAUUGUAAUUAUUAUGUCUUACAGUCUUUCUUGACAGAGAUGUUCCACAGAAAUAAACCUGAGAGCAACAGGUCAUCCCACCCAACUCAGCACCCCUUGCAAUCAUUCCAAGGAGAAGCAGCUGUGAAAAGCCCCCAUAAGAGAAUGUGCAGCCCCAAGCCUUUGGAUAAACACCAAAAAGCAGUUUGGAAACCUGGCCGAAACAAGCUGAUUCUCCAGAGUUUGUAACACCAGUGGAAAAUGUGGCUAAGCGCUUACUUCUGCUAUUAGCAGCUUUCCCACAAUAGGUUUUUCCUGUGCUAUCUGGGAGUUCCAGGCUACUCAAGACUUCUGCAGUGCUCCUACCCCUGAAAAUCCACUGCAGAGUCAUGGCUGAAGGAGAGAGAUCUGAACUUUUACUUCCUGGGCUCCCAAAUAAAAAGUCCUCCGAAAAUACAGGUAUCUUAAAACUCAGCUAACUGCCUUAGUGACCCUGGCAUGGGCGCUGAGCAGAGAUGAAGGCCUGGUGAGCUAAGCAGUAGGAAAGGCAGCUGGUUGGUGCAGAGAUAGCCUGGGAUCUUCAGAGCAGCCACAUGGAGCCAAGAAUGGAAAACAUGACCAGUUCUUUGUGGCAGAAGGGACAAGAGUCACAUGCAGGAGAUUUUAGUCAGCAUUGUGAAGCUCAGAGAUUCCAACCAGCACUUCUCCCUGCUACGGCCACCUGGAAGAAAACAAAGCAGUCUCCUGGGGAGCAGCAGCCCCUCAGCCCCUGGAGUUGCCUGGUUUCCAUCCUGCAGGGUGGUGACAUGAAGCAGACGCACUCACUCCUCUCCUCACCUGUCCCCACUCAAAGAGUACAUUGAGGAAAGGGAAUUAAACUGCAGUACAGCAUUCCUGCGCAGCAGAUGGGGCUGCACUGUGGAUCACUCCUGCCCCAGGGAGUGUUGUAUGUACACUGCACCCACAGGCACAGCCUGCAUGGCUUUCUUGUGCCCUUGCACAUUUGUAAAUGCAGUGUUGCUCAAGGGGAGCAAACGAGCAGCCCAGAGCCUGGCAGGUCUCUGCGGGAUGAGCAGAGAACAUCCCGUGCCACUGCAAGUGCAAAGGUCACUGAGUCAUCCAUGUCCUCCCCCAUGAAGCACAGGGACUGAGGGUGCAGGAUGAGAUAGGAAAGAUAACCCACCUCCCCAGGGCUCAGGAGCAGAGGCAAAGAGGUGAAACCCUCCCAGCAGCAGGCUCUCACACACAGCCUUGGCACUGCGCCUCCCUGCCGACCAGGAAAACUGGCUGCAUUACACAGAGAGCCCCAUUCAGCCUCACAGGCCCAUUGAGCACAGUGCUGGGGUGGACUGCCAGCAAGGGGGACACCCAUUGACAGACUCGGUGAGCACUGCACAGACAGUCCCUGCCCGCCGGGUGCGGCAUCCGCCAGUGGCUCCAUGGAGAAAGGCCCUGCGUGUUUGCCGGUGUUUGUUACGGGAGUCCAAAGAGGAGAACGAAACUCUAAAGCAAGACAAUACUUCUAAGUUGAAGGGGAACAUUUCUUCCCGCAUUAAUUAUUUCCCAUGCUAUUCCUGGCAGUGACCUUCACCAGGAAGGAAAAAAAAAUCAGAUUUGUUUUUAUAUCUUUUACCCGACUUCCUAUACUAAAGCCUCUGGCUAGAAUGACUCACAUUUAUAUCAGCCAUCACAUUAUAUUACGCUGUAUGAGUGCUGCGACCCGUCUUGUCUUCCUCAGCACUAGGGUUUGUUAGCAUUAAACCUGGCAAUUUGCAGCUAUAUUUAAAGACUACCUGCCUCAGUGGCAGUGUCCAUAAUACCCUCGUUUCAUCUUUGGAAGAAAUACCAUGAGGAUUACAUUUGAGACAGCUGGCAAUCCCAGACUGAAGGGAAAAUUUUCUGGUUCUGUGCAGAGAAGUGUUUGCCUGUUGCAGAGCAGGCACCCCUUCUCCAACCACUUAUGAUGAAAUCACUUUUGUGCAUCAUGGGCCUGUUAUGUACCACUUGCCCUGUUAGAGAUUCCUAGGGUUAUUUCUGCUCCCUGUGUGCAACGGAGCUGCAUGCUGAAACCACAGCCCCGUGGGGGGAAUGACCCUCAUGGCUCCUCAUCAGUCAUUGGCCCAGCCUUCCCUGCCCACAAUUUAAAGGGCUGAGUAGAAACUCCACUAGAGGAGUUUCAGAGACUUGUGCUCCUCACAUAGAACCUCUCAAAGACAGCAGCGGGCUGGUCCCUGUUCUCUCAUUCCAUUCACACUUGGUUUCUUCCUCUGCUUUGCAGACCUGUGCUCACAAAGAAUCACCUUUGUUAUGAAAGGUGCAUAUGCAAGCAGGUUACCUUCCAGACUUUUCCUUUUUUUAAAAAAUAAAGGCAUUUGGAUUGCAGCAAUGGCCCGUCUCCUGCCAGAACUGAAGCUGUGUCAUACCAGGAGCUGUGUGAAUGCACAGGGAGCAUCCUAGCCCUCAGGUGCUUCCAGCCUAAAAGUGAAGCAGUCUAACAGUUGAAAGAAAAAUGUCAUACUAGAGGUUUUAACAUAAUAACAUACCUGAAAAGGAGUUUGAUCUUCAUCCUACAGAAUCCCAAGGAAAUCUAGUGAAAAUGUAACCAUCCCACAGAGUCUGGACACUUUUCCCUGCCACAGAAAGGCUGUUACAUCUCCACCAUUGCUGAAAAACCCCUGACCUGCAGUGUGAGGAUGCAACAAAUGCUGGCUGCUGGCUGUGCUGGGGACCUGUUCCAUCUCUGAGCUGUGCCUCAUGGCAUGUCGGCAGGGUCAGUGCAGAAUGUACCAACCUCUUUUAUAAACAAAACAGCACCAUGAACCUUGGUGUGAAAUCAACUAAUUUAAGGCAAAUUGCAGCAAGUGUGACAAGCAGCAGGAGGUAAGGAAGGCUUAAGGGUACUUCUAAAAGUGUUUAUUUCACUGACAGCCCCAGAAGAGGUCAUAGUCUGGAACUGGCAGAAUGUUUGCAGCAGUCAUUGUUCUUUCUAGUGUAGGUCUAUCUGAUUUUCCAUGACACAAGAUCUAACCACUGGGCUCGAGGCUGUACCACAGAAUUUUAGUUCAAAAAACCCAAGA
Molecule: long non-coding RNA, 24122 nt
Organism: Motacilla alba alba
Lineage: Eukaryota; Metazoa; Chordata; Aves; Passeriformes; Motacillidae
Exons: 3
Source: RefSeq, a predicted model, not a curated record